CGAUCAUAUAUAUGUGUGGUUGUGGUUUAACCAAAAAAGAUUCAUAUAUGUGUGGUGCACAAGUACAAAUCCCACUUUCUUAAAAAAGAAAUGAAUCACUUGUGUGACCUUCAAGAUGUGAUCUGACCUUCAAUAUUUUACGUUCAGAUUGAAAGAUCGUCGAUCAUGUAUCAAAUUGAGCUCCAUCCAACAAUAUUCGUAAAAUUGAACACACUAAAAUAUAAGACAACUCAAUACAAGGAGGAAGAAAGCAACAACGAGACUAGUUAAAAAUUAAUUUACAAGCUCUUUCAGCUUCUGAACAAACCUGUCAAUAUAGCCAUCCAUAAACCCGGGAGUUGACAGUGUUUCCCUCCACUUUGCAUGGUUCUUCUUCACCAUAACACCCACUUCAUUGUCCUUAUCCAUAACGGUUGUAAUGGUUUUGCUCAAGCUCUCUUUUGAAAACCAUCCAUUUUCUUUUCUCUCUACCUCCACAGCAACUUUGAGAUCUUUAACCAGUAUCUUGGUGUUUAAUAUAUGGUCAGCACCGUGUGGAACCAGCACAAUCUGAUUUUUACUCAUCAAAGACUCCCACAAUGCCCCAAAGCCACAAUGGCUCACAAAGCACCCAACUGAUGGGUGGCUCAAAAUCAAUAUCUGUUGCACCCAACCACCAAACACCACCCCUCUCCCUUUAACUCUUUCUUCAAACCCUUGUGGCAAUGCCUCUUCAAUUGUAGCACAACCCACAGGUGGUUUUAGAGCUACGAAAAAUGGCAGCCCAGUUAGUUCAAACCCUAACACAAUGUUAAAUGUAAUACAUUUGUAUCAGUUGUUAAAGUAGAGUUGUGUCUCUUGAUGAAAAGUUAUGUUUAGGAAGAGUUGUAUCUCUUUAGAAGUUAAGAGUUAUGUCUGUAUAUGAAAGGGUCUGAGUGUUAUUAUAUAUAGCCAAUGAUAUAGGCUGCUGGUAUAUAUCUAAGAAGUUAAUAAAAAUCAGUUUGUCUAAUUCCCUAUUUUAGAAACACUCUCUGCCUCACUUUAUAUUUCCAUCAUACACUUCAGUUUUGUGAUCAUUCCUCCAACAAAUUUGGUACCAGAGCAGUAUUUGAUCUUAUCGCUACCGCUGUGAUUAGCAAUGGCAUCAAGUUCAAAUUCCUCUACCAUUGGGAAUAUCCAGAAUCUAAUGCCUAUUUUUUAUGGUGAGAAUUAUGAGUAUUGGAGUGUUCAAAUGAAGACUCUGUUCAUCUCCCAGGAUCUUUGGGAUAUUGUUGAAGAUGGGUAUGAGGAGCAAGAAAUAUCAAAAGCAGGAAAGGAAACGCAAGAAAAGCAGCAGACUUACAAGGAAAAUAAGAAAAAAGAUGCCAAGGCGUUGUUUCUAAUUCAACAAGGAGUAAGCAAAAAUCUUUUUCCAAGAUUACUUCCAGCAACAACAUCAAAGCAGGCUUGGGAAAUUCUCAAAAUUGAGUUCAAAGGUUCAGAAAAAGUUAUCUCAAUCAAACUGCAAUCCUUAUGGCGGGAAUUUGAUAACUUACUUAUGAAAGACACUGAAUCCAUUCAAGUAUUCUUCACAAAGGUUUCUGGGAUUGUGAACCAAAUCAAAUGUUAUGGGGACACUAUUCCAGACAAGAAAAUCGUAGAGAAAACUUUACGAAGUCUUCCGCCAAAAUAUGAUCAUGUCGCUGCUGCAAUAGAAGAAUCAAAAGAUUUAUCUACACUUUCUUUACAUGAAUUAAUUGGUUCAUUGGAAGCACAUGAAAAAAGAAUCAACAGAUCCACAGAACAAUCUGUGGAGCAAGCUUUCCAGUCCAAGGUGAAUUCGAAAGAGAAAGAAGACAAACAAAAAGGAGGACAAUUCCAGAAAUCUCAAAAUGGGAGAAACAAAAAUUUUGGGCGUAGAAACUACAACAAAGGAGGCAAUAGUUUCAAUAAUCAACAACAAGGCAGCAGUCUCAAUCAUCAAGAAGGAAGCAACAGUUCCAAUAAUCAACAAGGAAGCAGCAAUUCAAAUAAUCAAAAUGGAAGAUCAUCCAUUCAAUGCUAUGUUUGCAACAAAUAUGGGCAUAAAAGUGCAGAUUGCCGAUACAAAUGUACCCGAUGCAGGAUACCCAAUCAUUCACAAAGAGACUGCAGAUAUCAGAAAAACAAUGAAGCAAAUUUUACGGAGAACAAUGACUCUCAAGAGCAAUUAUUUUAUACAUGUUUCAGUUCUCAUAAAGAUUCCCAAGAUGUUUGGUACGUGGAUAGCGGAUGUAGUAAUCAUAUGACAGGAAAUAAGCAAUGCUUUGUCAAGUUAGAAGAAAAAGUGAACUCACAAGUCAAGCUUGGUGAUGGAAAACUACACAACGUGGAAGGCAAGGGUAUCAUUUCUGUGCAAACAAAAGGAGGUAUUCCAAAACUUGUCUAUGAUGUGCUGUAUGUUCCUAAUUUGGCUCAAAAUUUACUAAGUGUUGGACAACUUUUGCAAAGAGGAUUCUUGGUGAAAUUUGAAGAUGAUUAUUGUGUUAUUUCUGAUAAAAAGAAUAACACUCUGAUGGCAAAGAUAAAAAUGACAGCAAACAAAGUUUUUCCGCUGCUGAUGACAUCAAAAGAAAAUUUGGCUUUAGAAGCAGAAAAAGUUGAUGGGUCAUUGUUAUGGCAUUUAAGAUAUGGGCAUUUGAAUCAAAGAAGCUUGCAGCUGUUACACCAGAAAAGUAUGGUGGUUGGACUUCCCUCCAUUCACUCUGAAAAGGAAAUAUGUGAGGGCUGUAUCUUUGGAAAAUUCCAUCGAUUACCAUUCUCACAAUCAUCUUGGAGAGCAAAAGCCCCUCUUGAAUUGGUACAUGCAGAUAUUUGCGGACCAACUCGUACACCAUCCUUCAAUAACAAAAGGUACUUCAUUCUAUUCGUAGAUGAUUUCUCAAGGAUGAUGUGGGUAUAUUUCUUAGAACAAAAGUCAGAAGCAUUUUCUGUUUUCAAGCAAUUCAAAGCUUUUGGAGAAAAUCAAAGUGGUCACAAUUUGAAGGUGUUAAGAACAGAUCGUGGUGGAGAGUUUACAUCAAAUGAAUUUUCUGAAUAUUGCAAAAGCAAUGGUAUUAAAAGAGAGUUGACAGCAAGGUACACCCCACAGCAAAAUGGAGUUGCCGAACGAAGAAAUCGAACCAUUGUCGAGAUGGCAAGAAGCAUGUUGAAAGCAAAGAGUCUGCCAAAUACAUUUUGGGCUGAAGCAAUUCAUACAGCAGUUUUUAUUCUUAAUCGGUCUCCAACCAAAGCAGUCAAAGAUAAGACUCCUUUUGAAGCAUGGCAUCGUUUUAAACCAAAGGUGGAUUUCUUCAAGAUUUUUGGGUGCACUGCAUAUGCACAUAUCCCUUCUCAAAAGAGAGAAAAAUUUGAUGAGAAAGGUGAGAAAUAUAUUUUUGUGGGAUAUAGUGAUCAGUCCAAAGCUUACAGAUUAAUUGAUCCAAGAACCAAAAGUUUGGUAAUUUCUAGAGAUGUUAUUUUUGAUGAACUCAAAGCUUGGAAAUGGGAGAAUUAAAAUAUUGAAGUGCCAAGAUUUUUUGAGGAACCAGAUUCAUCACAUUCAGAAGAAACUCAGUUCCUUCAAAGUCCAAUUCCAAGUGCAGGGACAGCUGAUCCUAGUUCACCAGAUUCAACUCCUAGACUAAACGCAAGAACGCGUUCAUUGGCAGAUAUAUAUGAGUCAUGUGAUCUUGCUUUGAGUGCUUUGGAGCCUCAAAAAUUCGAGGAAGCUGUAAAAGAAAAUAUUUGGCAAGAUGCAAUGGAUGAGGAAAUAAGAGUUAUCAAGAAAAAUAGAACAUGGGAACUUGUUGAUCGACCCAAAUCAAAAGAUAUCAUUGGACUUAAAUGGGUCUACAAGACAAAGUUUAAUGAAGAUGGCUCAAUCCAAAAGCAUAAGGCUCGUUUGGUUGCAAAAGGAUAUUCUCAACAACCAGGAAUUGAUUUUAAUGAGACGUUUGCUCCGGUAGUUCGAAUGGAGACUAUAAGAACUGUUUUGGCUUUGGCUGCACAACUGAAGACAAAGGUUUAUCAAUUGGAUGUCAAAUCUGCAUUUUUAAAUGGAGAACUUGAAGAAGAGGUUUAUGUGGAGCAACCUCAAGGUUAUGUUGAGAAAGGGAGGGAAGAUAAAGUUUAUCGCCUCCGUAAAGCCUUAUAUGGCUUAAAGCAAGCGCCGAGAGCCUGGAACAACAAAAUUGAUCACUAUUUUCAGCAAAAUGGAUUUACAAGAAGCUUAAGUGAGCCAUCACUUUAUCUCAAGAAAGAAGGUACACAUGAUUUUCUGAUUUUGUGCCUCUAUGUUGAUGAUUUGAUUUAUACAAGCACAAAUCCAAGGAUGGCAGAAGUUUUCAAGAAGAACAUGAUGAAGGAAUAUGAGAUGACAGAUUUAGGCACUAUGAGAUAUUUUCUUGGUAUACAAGUUCAACAAUCAGAUGAGGGAAUAUUUAUUUCUCAAGGGAAGUAUGCUGAAAAUCUGUUGAAAAAAUUCAAUAUGUUGAAGAGCAAGCCAAUGGAUACUCCAAUGGCAAUUAAUUUGAAGCUUACAAGUAACGAUGGAGCACCUAAGUUUGAUGCAUCCAUAUAUAAAAGUGUGGUUGGUUCAUUAAUUUAUCUUACAAAUACAAGGCCCGAUAUUGUUCAUGCUGUAAGUGUGGUAUCUAGAUUCAUGAGUGAUCCAAGUAAUCACCAUUUUGCUGCAGUAAAAAGAAUACUCAGAUACAUACAAGGAACCAAGGGAUAUGGUAUUAGAUACACACAAGAGAAGAAAGCACACUUAGUUGGCUACACAGACAGUGAUUGGGCAGGUGCAAUUGAUGAUAGAAAGAGCACCUCUGGACAUGUGUUUUUCUUGGGAAGUAAAGUUAUAUCAUGGUCGUCGAAGAAGCAAAGUACUGUGGCAUUAUCAACAACCGAAGCAGAGUAUAUUUCAGCCACAAGUGCAGCAUGUGAAGCAGUUUGGAUUAGAAGAAUAUUAGCAGAUCUUCGUCAAGAACAAAACACUCCAACAAAAUUGUACUGUGAUAACAUGUCCACAAUUGCCAUGACAAAGAACCCAGUCUUUCAUAGCAGGUCAAAGCACAUAGAACUUCGUCAUCAUUUUAUCAGAAAAUUGGUUGAAGACGGAGAGAUUGAGCUGAAAUUUUGUGGUACUGAUGAGCAGAUUGCAGAUGUUUUUACAAAAGCACUUCCAAGAGAGAAGUUCUACUAUUUCAGAGAAAGGCUAAAUGUCGCAGGACAAAUGCAUUAAGAGGGAGUGUUAAACGUAAUACAUUUGUAUUAGUUGUUAAAGUAGAGUUGUGUCUCUUAAUGAAAAGUUAUGUUUAGGAAGAGUUGUAUCUCUUUAGAAGUUAAGAGUUAUGUCUGUAUAUGAAAGGGUCUGAGUGUUAUUAUAUAUAGCCAAUGAUAUAGGCUGCUGUAAUAUAUCAGAGAAGUUAAUAAAAAUCAGUUUGUCUAAUUCCCUAUUUUAGAAACACUCUCUGCCUCACUUUAUAUUUCCAUCAUACACUUCAGUUUUGUGAUCAUUCCUCCAACACACAAGCUCUUGAAAUUGGUCCUUUUCAAGCACCCACUGGCUUCCAAAUCCACAAAACACCACAGAUUCUGGUUCAAACCCAGAAAACCAAUUAGCCCAGAUGUCUUCUAAUUGUUCACUCUUCUUGUUUGUUCUUAUUAUUAGAGUCCAUUACGCCCAAAAUAGGGCCAGUUAAAAGCACAGGCUUUUUAUACUGUGCUUCCAGGUAAUCGCAAAAAACACCUUCCACUUCUCUGCAUGUUCUGAUGCACAUCACGUCACAUCCUUUCUUAGCGGUCAUGAGCCGCUCAUAAAAAGUGAUCCCAUCUCCAUAUGGCAUCGUAAUGAACAUCAAGGACUGGACUUCACGACCAGGAAGCAUUACCACAGUUGAUGAUGGGUACCCAGGAGGUGGGUCUCGUAGAUCUUCCUCAGUCACAGGCCUAUCUUUGGGCACGUUUCGUGCUGGCACAAUAGCCAUCGCAGUUAUCGCAGCACAAGCAACACCGUAGUUAAUGCACUUAAUUCCAAGCCCUCUUGUAAUUUCUGGUACCCAAUGAGCAAAGUCAUAGAAAAUCAUGUCGACUUUACGAUCAUUGGCACCACAACUUACUAGGAAGCCUUGUAUUUGCUGACGGGUGCGGUCCAUGGCAGUCGCUAGCAAGGGGGUCGAAGAUGUUGGGAUGUCAGAGGCAGUCUCAGUGCCCUCAGGGAGGCCUUCAAUGUGAGGAACAAUGACUGAACAAAAGGCAAUGAGGUGUGGGUGGAGGUUGAGAUGUUGAAGCUGAAUUUGAGCUUUUUUGGGCAGCAAGAAAGAGAUUCUAUGGCCUCUUGCUGCGAGCUCGUUAGAGAGGUGAAGGAAAGGGAUGGAGUGUCCCAUUGCAAACCAUGGGAACAUGGCUAUGUGAAAAUUUGAUGAGCUCGUCUCAUUGAGAUUAGGUUGUGCCAUUUGAUCAACUUUUGUG
This 6450-nucleotide long non-coding RNA is filed under the name Prunus dulcis (almond). RNAcentral's name for it is "sRNA ncRNA". The record is from RNAcentral. Lineage: Eukaryota; Viridiplantae; Streptophyta; Magnoliopsida; Rosales; Rosaceae.